This 221-nucleotide long non-coding RNA is filed under the name Capra hircus (goat). RNAcentral describes it as "lncRNA (ENSCHIG00000007501.1)". Lineage: Eukaryota; Metazoa; Chordata; Mammalia; Artiodactyla; Bovidae. The record is from RNAcentral.
CUCGCGAGGCCGCGGUCGCUGCGCGAAGACGCGAACAUCCGCGAGUUCCCGCGAUUAGUUAUCCGGGCCACCUCAGAGGCACUCCCUUUUUUGCCCUCCAGCGUGUACCGGUGGUCUCAUGUCCUUUCUCUGUGCUAUGCCAUCUAAGAGGCUGAAUACAUCCGGCUGUUCUCUGCAAGGCAAUGAAGCAGUCAGCUCCUACACCAGGACCUGGGGGUAAG